CCCCAACUAUCCUUAUUAAUCAUUACGUCGAUCCUGGAAACCAACAAAAUAAGAUAGAUUCCCAUAUUUCAAAAUCCCAGGAAAAUGAAUUCAACCGUGGCCCGGUUUUAAACACCCAAAUUUUUUAAGGGAAAAAUUCGGGAUUCCCCGCAACCCCAAAUUAAGGGCAUUACGGUUCAUCAAAAGGGAGGAAUCGGGGGAACAGUAACAUACCGGGGGGACGACCACCCUACUGACCCCCAAAUUCCACU
This 251-nucleotide ribosomal RNA is filed under the name uncultured Glomus. Its description in RNAcentral is "partial 18S ribosomal RNA". Lineage: Eukaryota; Fungi; Glomeromycota; Glomeromycetes; Glomerales; Glomeraceae. The record is from RNAcentral.